RNAcentral lists this ribosomal RNA (133 nucleotides) under uncultured bacterium. RNAcentral describes it as "partial 16S ribosomal RNA". The record is from RNAcentral.
GGAGUUAGCCGGGGUUUCUUUACCAGGUACUGUCAUUAUCAUCCCUGGCGAAAGAGCUUUACGACCCUAAGGCCUUCAUCACUCACGCGGCAUGGCUGGAUCAGGGUUGCCCCCCAUUGUCCAAGAUUCCCCA